GGCUACCUGAUCUAGUCAUGUAGUGAACGUAGUAUCAAGGUCUUCGGUUGGCCUACCUCGGCCCAUAGAGGAAGUACAAGUCGUAACAAGGUUUCCGUAGGUGAACCUGCGGAAGGAUCAUAGUUAUGGAGAGGUCAGCCUUCACGGGCCCCUCGUCACACUCUGGAUGCAAAUGCGCUCACGCGCUAGUCUUGGUUCCCUUGGGGGCCUUGACAAAACCUUUGUAAUCCAAAUAAUGACUAUUUGAAAUGGAAAAGAUUUACAACCAGUAGCGUUGGAUCCCUUGGCACGUCAUUCGAUGAAGACCGUUGCAAAAUGCGAUAAGUGGUGUGAUAUGCAAGUCCAAAACUUAUACGUGAAUCAUCGAAUUGUUGAACGCACUGCAUCGAGCCUUACCCAGGAACGAUACGCCCCAUUGAGCGUCAUUAUGUCUUCGCGACUUGUCAUUUUCUUGACAUGUCCGGGUUCGGGAUUCACGGCCUUUGAGGUUGCGCUUCCUUAGAAACAUUAGUGCACCGGCUUUGAUGGUGACCUUGUCAUGAAUGUCGAGGUGUGCCAAUAGGAGCCGUGUGUAAGAUCCGCAACUUGUGUGCAGAUCAAGUGCAUCCUUUGUGGACGCAACUUCUCCACAUGCCCUCAAUGGGGGUGGGACGACCCGCUAGACUUAAGCAUACAAUCAGCCGAAGA
Molecule: ribosomal RNA, 687 nt
Filed under: uncultured fungus
Lineage: Eukaryota; Fungi
Description: eukaryotic LSU rRNA
Rfam family: 5.8S ribosomal RNA (bases 264-425)
Source: RNAcentral